GGUGGUAGCUCAAUCGGGUAAGCGCCCGCUUCUUACGCCAGAGAUGCGGGUUCGAAUCCCGGACAUGUACCA
This 72-nucleotide transfer RNA is filed under the name Plutella xylostella (diamondback moth). Its description in RNAcentral is "tRNA-Lys". Lineage: Eukaryota; Metazoa; Arthropoda; Insecta; Lepidoptera; Plutellidae. The record is from RNAcentral.